This 313-nucleotide long non-coding RNA is filed under the name Bos taurus (domestic cattle). RNAcentral's name for it is "long non-coding RNA NONBTAT009687". Lineage: Eukaryota; Metazoa; Chordata; Mammalia; Artiodactyla; Bovidae. The record is from RNAcentral.
UAAUAAUCAGGUUAAUUGAGUGCAGCAGCCUGGUUCUGAGAAUCAUGAAAUGUCUCCGUAGGACAUUCUGCCCUCUCCCAGUCGGGCGUGGAGCCACUGGCUCCCUCGUGCUGUCGGGAGACACUGAAUGCUCCUGCUGAGAGGCUCACACAGCACAAUACAACUACUUUAUGCUCCCCAGACUCAGAAUGGAGGACUAAGAUUCCUGGAUUUUAAACACAGAGGGGGACUGUAGCAUAUUUUGGGGUGCCAGGGUAGCUAUAGCAAAUAAAUAAAAGAUGCAUUUCAGCAACAGAUUGUUAAUCUACAGAUU